RNAcentral lists this ribosomal RNA (253 nucleotides) under uncultured bacterium. Its description in RNAcentral is "partial 16S ribosomal RNA". It matches the Rfam family "Bacterial small subunit ribosomal RNA", at positions 524 to 776 of the family's 1533-position model. The record is from RNAcentral.
UACGUAGGGGGCUAGCGUUGUCCGGAAUCAUUGGGCGUAAAGCGCGUGUAGGCGGCUCGAUAAGUCUGCUGUGAAAGUCCAGGGCUCAACCCUGGAAUGCCGGUGGAAACUGUCGAGCUAGAGUCCGGAAGAGGCGAGUGGAAUUCCUGGUGUAGCGGUGAAAUGCGCAGAUAUCAGGAGGAACACCAAUGGCGAAGGCAGCUCGCUGGGACGGUACUGACGCUGAGACGCGAAAGCGUGGGGAGCGAACAGG